This 371-nucleotide ribosomal RNA is filed under the name uncultured organism. RNAcentral's name for it is "bacterial SSU rRNA". It matches the Rfam family "Bacterial small subunit ribosomal RNA", at positions 526 to 896 of the family's 1533-position model. The record is from RNAcentral.
CAGAGGGUGCGAGCGUUAAUCGGAAUUACUGGGCGUAAAGCGCGCGUAGGCGGCUUUGCAAGUCGGGUGUGAAAUCCCCAGGCUUAACCUGGGAACUGCAUUCGAGACUGCAUUGCUAGAGUAUGGGAGAGGGAAGUGGAAUUUCCGGUGUAGCGGUGAAAUGCGUAGAUAUCGGAAGGAACAUCAGUGGCGAAAGCGACUUCCUGGACCAAUACUGACGCUCAUGUGCGAAAGCGUGGGGAGCAAACAGGAUUAGAUACCCUGGUAGUCCACGCCAUAAACGAUGAGAACUGGAUGUCGGGAGGGUCUGCCGCUCGGUGUCGUAGCUAACGCGUUAAGUUCUCCGCCUGGGGAGUACGGCCGCAAGGUUG